GCGGCGGGGCCUGUGGCGAACGGAGGCGAGCCGGAAGUGGGGGGGUUGUCUGCUCUCAGGCCCCGCCUCCCCGGGGCCGGCUCGGGCCACUUCUUGCGCGCUGCCAGAAGGAGCUAUUUUGAGCAGGCGGAAUUUUGCUCUGGUGGCCCAGGCUGGAGUGCAGUGGUGCGAUCUUGGCUCACUGCAACCUCUGCCUCCCAGAUUCAAGCAAUUCUCCUGCCUCAGCCUCCCAAGUCGCUGGGAUUACAGGUGCCUGCCACCAUGCCCAGUCCUUCUGACCCUCGUGGCUUCUCCUGCUCCAAGGCCAAGCUCGGGACCCUGUCAUCAUCCCCGGGGACAGGCCCCAUCUUAGAGAGGAUCCACCCAGCUCCCCGCUCCUGAGCCAUCUUCCAGCUAUCCCGCCUCGAGACUCCCACCGCACCUGCUCCUGGGCUGCAGCUGCACCCAACAAGUCAACAUGUGGAUUGCUUCUAGAAUUUGGAUAUUAUGAACACUGCUGUGCUGAACAUUCUUGUACACUUAUAUGGUUUGGCUGUGUCCCCACCCAAAUCUCAUCUUGAAUUGUAGCUCCCAUAAUUCCUAUGUGUCGUGGGAGGGACCCAAUGGGAGGUAAUUGAAUCAUAGGGGCAGGUCUUUCCCCUGCUGUCCUUAUGAUAGUGAAUAAGUCUCAUGAGAUCUGAUGGUUUUAUACAUGGGAGUUCCCCUGCACAAGCCCUCUUGUCUGCCGCCAUGUAAGAUGUGCCUUUGCUUCUCCUCUGCCUUCCACCAUGAUUGUGAGGACUCCCCAACCAUGUGGAACUGUGAGUCCAUUAAACCUCUUUCCUUUGUAAAUUACCCAGUCUUGGGUCUGUCUUUAUUAGCCGCAUGAGAACAUACCAAUUUAUACACAUCUUCUGGAACCCAUUUCUUUCUGGU
This 915-nucleotide long non-coding RNA is filed under the name Homo sapiens (human). RNAcentral describes it as "HSALNT0363496". The record is from RNAcentral. Lineage: Eukaryota; Metazoa; Chordata; Mammalia; Primates; Hominidae.